UACGGGGGGGGCAAGCGUUGUUCGGAAUUACUGGGCGUAAAGGGCUCGUAGGCGGCCAACUAAGUCAUACGUGAAAUCCCUCGGCUUAACCGGGGAACUGCGUCUGAUACUGGAUGGCUUGAGUUCGGGAGAGGGAUGCGGAAUUCCAGGUGCAGCGGCGAAAUGCGUAGAUAUCUGGAGGAACACCGGUGGCGAAGGCGGCAUCCUGGACCGAUACUGACGCUGAGGAGCGAAAGCCAGGGGAGCAAACGGG
Molecule: ribosomal RNA, 253 nt
Filed under: uncultured bacterium
Lineage: Bacteria
Description: partial 16S ribosomal RNA
Rfam family: Bacterial small subunit ribosomal RNA
Source: RNAcentral